CUAGCCGUAAACGAUGGGUACUAGGUGUAGGUGGUUUCGAUACCAUCUGUGCCGGAGUUAACGCAAUAAGUACCCCGCCUGGGGAGUACGUGCGCAAGCAUGAAACUCAAAGGAAUUGACGGGGGCCCGCACAAGCGGUGGAGCAUGUGGUUUAAUUCGAGGCAACGCGAAGAACCUUACCCGGGUUUGACAUCCGUAGAAUCCUUCAGAGAUGAGGGAGUGCCGGUUUACCGGAGCUACGAGACAGGUGC
This 251-nucleotide ribosomal RNA is filed under the name uncultured Bacillota bacterium. Its description in RNAcentral is "uncultured Firmicutes bacterium partial 16S ribosomal RNA". It matches the Rfam family "Bacterial small subunit ribosomal RNA", at positions 796 to 1041 of the family's 1533-position model. Lineage: Bacteria; Bacillati; Bacillota. The record is from RNAcentral.